Molecule: long non-coding RNA, 354 nt
Filed under: Pan troglodytes (chimpanzee)
Lineage: Eukaryota; Metazoa; Chordata; Mammalia; Primates; Hominidae
Description: long non-coding RNA NONPTRT006673
Source: RNAcentral
UCUUCGGCAGUAGCCGGCUGCCACUCAACCCCGUGCCUGACUGAGCUGUGGUAGAAGGAUUGAGGCCAGCACAGAGGAGGAUCAGCAGGAAAUGGUUGUCCUCAUCUAAUCCGUCAGUACCAGACAGUGAACAUCUCUCCCCCAGGAUGCUGAGGGAGGGUGCUGGAGGGAAGGAUGUGGAACUACAGCCUCUGCUCUCAAGAAGCUCAGAUCUGGGCAGGGAACAUCACAUACCAGGGCUGUCGGGGGGUGGAGGGCUGGGGGAGGGAUAGCAUUAGGGGAAAUACCUAAUGUAAAUGACAAGUUGAUGGGUGCAGCAAACCAACAUGGCACACGUAUACCUAUGUAACAAAC